Molecule: ribosomal RNA, 110 nt
Filed under: Doronicum plantagineum subsp. plantagineum
Lineage: Eukaryota; Viridiplantae; Streptophyta; Magnoliopsida; Asterales; Asteraceae
Description: partial 5.8S ribosomal RNA
Rfam family: 5.8S ribosomal RNA
About the family: 5.8S ribosomal RNA (5.8S rRNA) is a component of the large subunit of the eukaryotic ribosome. It is transcribed by RNA polymerase I as part of the 45S precursor that also contains 18S and 28S rRNA.
Source: RNAcentral
AAAAUGCGAUACUUGGUGUGAAUUGCAGAAUCCCGUGAACCAUCGAGUUUUUGAACGCAAGUUGCGCCCGAAACCAUUUGGUCGAGGGCACGUCUGCCUGGGCGUCACGU